UGUCGGCUGGAUCAGAGAUUGGCUGGCACAAAUUGAAACCCUUAACAUUUAGGAAAAGACAAUGUCUCUGAAUGCAGAAACAAAAGCAGCGAUCGUUGCUGAAUACGCACAAUGUGC
RNAcentral lists this non-coding RNA (117 nucleotides) under uncultured Enterovibrio sp. RNAcentral's name for it is "Ribosomal S15 leader". It matches the Rfam family "Ribosomal S15 leader". From Rfam's summary of the family: The E. coli Ribosomal S15 gene 5' UTR can form two alternative structures. One that is a series of three hairpins, The other includes a pseudoknot. The record is from RNAcentral. Lineage: Bacteria; Pseudomonadati; Pseudomonadota; Gammaproteobacteria; Vibrionales; Vibrionaceae.